Small nucleolar RNA from Tupaia belangeri (northern tree shrew), 135 nucleotides. NCBI's taxonomy places the organism in Eukaryota, Metazoa, Chordata, Mammalia, Scandentia, Tupaiidae. The record is from Ensembl.
UAGGCCCUGAAUCAAGACCAGUGGUUUGCUGUAGCUGUUGGUUUCAAACAGGAGCCAAGAGUGAUGUUUUCCUUAUGGUCUGUUGGCUGUUUAGUGCCCCAGUGGGAAUGGCCUAUUCAGUUGGAAGAAACAAUC